Molecule: ribosomal RNA, 468 nt
Filed under: uncultured bacterium
Lineage: Bacteria
Description: partial 16S ribosomal RNA
Rfam family: Bacterial small subunit ribosomal RNA
Source: RNAcentral
GACGAACGCUAGCGGCGGGCUUAAUACAUGCAAGUCGAACGGACCGAUUCCGGUAGUUUGCUAUGGGGAAUGGUUAGUGGCGGACGGGUGAGUAACACGUAGGCAAUCUGCCCCUAAGUCCGGGAUAACAGACCGAAAGGUCGACUAAUACCGGAUACUCUUUACUAUCCGCAUGUUUGGAAAAUGAAAGGGAACGCGUAGGGAUGAGCCCGCGCCCAAUUAUCGAGUUUGUGAGGUAACGGCCCACCAAUGCAACGAUGGGUAUCCGGCCUGAGAGGGGGGACGGCGACAAUGGGACUGCGACACGGACCAGACUGCUACGGGAGGCAGCAGUAGGGAAUUUUAGGCAAUGGGGGAAAGUCUGAGAGAGCAACGCCGUGUGAGGGAAGCAGGUUUUCGGAUCGUAAAAAUUUGUGAUCGAGGACGCUAAUGCAGGUACUUGAGGAGGAAGCCCCGGCUAACUACGUG